AUUGAACGCUGGCGGCAGGCCUAACACAUGCAAGUCGAACGGUAACAGGAAGCAGCUUGCUGCUUCGCUGACGAGUGGCGGACGGGUUAGUAAUGUCUGGGAAACUGCCUGAUGGAGGGGGAUAACUACUGGAAACGGUAGCUAAUACCGCAUAACGUCGCAAGACCAAAGAGGGGGACCUUAGGGCCUCUUGCCAUCGGAUGUGCCCAGAUGGGAUUAGCUAGUAGGUGGGGUAACGGCUCACCUAGGCGACGAUCCCUAGCUGGUCUGAGAGGAUGACCAGCCACACUGGAACUGAGACACGGUCCAGACUCCUACGGGAGGCAGCAGUGGGGAAUAUUGCACAAUGGGCGCAAGCCUGAUGCAGCCAUGCCGCGUGUAUGAAGAAGGCCUUCGGGUUGUAAAGUACUUUAAGCGGGGAGGAAGGGAGUAAAGUUAAUACCUUUGCUCAUUGACGUUACCCGCAGAAGAAGCACCGGCUAACUCCGUG
Molecule: ribosomal RNA, 490 nt
Filed under: uncultured bacterium
Lineage: Bacteria
Description: partial 16S ribosomal RNA
Rfam family: Bacterial small subunit ribosomal RNA
Source: RNAcentral